UGUAUCCAUCCAUUUAGAAUUAAGAGGGUCUUUUUUUAAUUAAAAGGAACCUUUUUUUUCUGUUUGGGUAUACCCAUGUAUUAUACCAUAACAUUUUUUUUUCCGUUUAUCCAACAUUACUCCAUGCCGCACAUGUUCAAGUUUAAUCUUGAACUAGGGUGAGCAUUUUCAAUGAGAAAUUGGUUAACUUUUUUAUUCAAAAACUGUCUGGAACCUUUAAAUAGAGUUGAACCGGAAACUGGGACCUCUAAAUGAAGUUGACGCCGGGGUUUUUUUGUUUAAUCUAGUCCAAUGAAAUCAAAGAAAGCAAUAGGCACAUUUGGUCGAUACCUCGGCUCUCGAAUCGACGAAGACCGUAGCAAACUGCGAUAAUUCACUUGAAUUGUAGCGUUUACCGCGAUAGUCGAACUGUUGAACGCACAUGAUGACCGACUGCCCCUUGCAAAAGGGGCAGCUAGGCCACUCUCGUUUGAGAGACCUUUUCUCCAUCUCUCAUACUAUUUUUUUAAAAAAUAGUUUAGGGGCAUUGUGAAUGACGGCGGAUUAAGUCUGCAUAUAUAUGGGUCGUCAUUCAUUAAAUAUUAGUCCAAUGCAGUCCUUGUUUUUUACUAUUUAAUUAGCUAAAAUUCAUGACCAAAGGGUUGUUGAACACUAACAAAUUCCUAUCUUUAUUGAGGGACUUGUACUAGUCUUUAAUAUUCCAACAAAUUAAAAACUUUGAAAGUUGACUCGUUUGGCUUGUCCAAAUUUGAGACCUUUGAUAAUUUUUAGUAUGGUGGGCUCAAAUAUUAUAGAAAUAGGCUUGACUUUUUGAUAUUGAAAAGAGUGUUAUGCUGGACCAAUCUUCUAGGUUUUGUUUAUUAGUUGAUCAAGUUAGAAAUUACAGGAUCCAACGAAUCUAACCAUAGUUUGAAAGUUUUACCUGAUUGUACAAAGUUCUGGUUUCUUCGGAAGCCGUCUCUGUACUUUUUGGCUCUAAAAAGCAAUUCUUCGUAUGCCGCCUAUGAUAAGUAGGAAAAGGUACAGAAUGCAUAAGUAAAACAAAAUGGUAAAUUUAUUA
Molecule: unclassified non-coding RNA, 1060 nt
Filed under: Cavenderia aureostipes
Lineage: Eukaryota; Evosea; Eumycetozoa; Acytosteliales; Cavenderiaceae
Description: partial contains 18S rRNA, ITS1, 5.8S rRNA, ITS2 and 26S rRNA
Rfam family: 5.8S ribosomal RNA (bases 315-479)
Source: RNAcentral